Molecule: ribosomal RNA, 253 nt
Filed under: uncultured prokaryote
Description: partial 16S ribosomal RNA
Rfam family: Bacterial small subunit ribosomal RNA
Source: RNAcentral
ACAGAGGUCCCAAGCGUUGUUCGGAUUCACUGGGCGUAAAGGGUGCGUAGGUGGUUGGGUAAGUCUGAUGUGAAAUCUCCGAGCUCAACUCGGAAACUGCAUCGGAUACUAUUCAACUCGAGGGUUGGAGGGGGGACUGGAAUACUUGGUGUAGCAGUGAAAUGCGUAGAUAUCAAGUGGAACACCAGUGGCGAAGGCGAGUCCCUGGACAACUCCUGACACUGAGGCACGAAAGCUAGGGGAGCAAACAGGA